Molecule: ribosomal RNA, 427 nt
Filed under: uncultured bacterium
Lineage: Bacteria
Description: bacterial SSU rRNA
Rfam family: Bacterial small subunit ribosomal RNA
Source: RNAcentral
UCAGGCCUAACACAUGCAAGUCGAACGGCAGCACGGACUUCGGUCUGGUGGCGAGUGGCGAACGGGUGAGUAAUGUAUCGGAACGUGCCUAGUAGCGGGGGAUAACUACUCGAAAGAGUAGCUAAUACCGCAUACGCCCUACGGGGGAAAGGGGGGGAUCGCAAGACCUCUCACUAUUAGAGCGGCCGAUAUCGGAUUAGCUAGUUGGUGAGGUAAAGGCUCACCAAGGCGACGAUCCGUAGCUGGUUUGAGAGGACGACCAGCCACACUGGGACUGAGACACGGCCCAGACUCCUACGGGAGGCAGCAGUGGGGAAUUUUGGACAAUGGGGGCAACCCUGAUCCAGCCAUUCCGCGUGUGCGAUGAAGGCCUUCGGGUUGUAAAGCAAGGUGGCAGGAAAGAAAUCGCACGGGUUAAUAACCCGUG